AGUGAACGCUGGCGGUAGGCCUAACACAUGCAAGUCGAACGGCAGCACAGUAAGAGCUUGCUCUUACGGGUGGCGAGUGGCGGACGGGUGAGGUAUACAUCGGAAUCUACUUUUUCGUGGGGGAUAACGUAGGGAAACUUACGCUAAUACCGCAUACGACCUACGGGUGAAAGCAGGGGAUCUUCGGACCUUGCGCGAUUGAAUGAGCCGAUGUCGGAUUAGCUAGUUGGCGGGGUAAAGGCCCACCAAGGCGACGAUCCGUAGCUGGUCUGAGAGGAUGAUCAGCCACACUGGAACUGAGACACGGUCCAGACUCCUACGGGAGGCAGCAGUAGGGAAUAUUAGACAAUGGGCGCAAGCCUGAUCCAGCCAUACCGCGUGGGUGAAGAAGACCUUCGGGUUGUAAAGCCCUUUUGUUGGGAAAGAAAAGCAGCAGGUUAAUACCCCGCUGUUCUGACGGUACCCAAAGAAUAAGCACCGGCUAACUUCGUG
Molecule: ribosomal RNA, 492 nt
Filed under: uncultured bacterium
Lineage: Bacteria
Description: partial 16S ribosomal RNA
Rfam family: Bacterial small subunit ribosomal RNA
Source: RNAcentral